AUUGAACGCUGGCGGCAUGCCUUACACAUGCAAGUCGAACGGUAACAGCUCUUCGGAGGCUGACGAGUGGCGAACGGGUGAGUAAUACAUCGGAACGUGCCCGAUCGUGGGGGAUAACGGAGCGAAAGCUUUGCUAAUACCGCAUACGAUCUACGGAUGAAAGCAGGGGACCCUCGGGCCUUGCGCGAACGGAGCGGCCGAUGGCAGCUUAGGUAGUUGGUGGGAUAAAAGCUUACCAAGCCGACGAUCUGUAGCUGGUCUGAGAUGAAGACCAGCCACAAUGGGACUGAGACACGGCACAGACUCCUACGGGAGGCAGCAGUGGGGAAUUUUGGACAAUGGGCGAAAGCCUGAUCCAGCAAUGCCGCGUGCAGGAUGAAGGCCUUCGGGUUGUAAACUGCUUUUGUACGGAACGAAAAGUCUCGGGCUAAUACCCUGGGACCAUGACGGUACCGUAAGAAUAAGCACCGGCUAACUACGUGCCAGCCGCCGCAGUAA
This 498-nucleotide ribosomal RNA is filed under the name uncultured bacterium. RNAcentral's name for it is "partial 16S ribosomal RNA". It matches the Rfam family "Bacterial small subunit ribosomal RNA", at positions 30 to 523 of the family's 1533-position model. The record is from RNAcentral.